This 594-nucleotide ribosomal RNA is filed under the name Plasmodium malariae. RNAcentral describes it as "LSU rRNA". It matches the Rfam family "Bacterial large subunit ribosomal RNA", at positions 1985 to 2599 of the family's 2925-position model. Lineage: Eukaryota; Apicomplexa; Aconoidasida; Haemosporida; Plasmodiidae. The record is from RNAcentral.
GACCUGCAUGAAAGAUGUAACGACUUAAAUGCUGUCUUGAAAAAAAUCUUAAUGAAAUAAAAAUAUCUGUGAAGAUACAGAUUUCUUAUAUUGGGACAGAAAGACCCUAUGAAGCUUUACUAUUAAUAAGUAUUGAAAAUAUAUAUAUAAAACAUAGUAUAAAUGGGAAAUAUAAAUAUUAUUUUUUUGGAAAUAAUGUAAUUAUAAAUGAAAUACCAUUUUUUAUAUAUAUAAAUUCUUAUAAAAAUUUUAUAACAAAUUUUUAAACAAUAUUUAUAAGAUAGUUUGACUGGGGCGGUCUCCUCCUAUAUAUAAACGGAGGAGUACAAUGUUAUAUUUAUUAUAUAAAGAUAUAUAUAUAAUUAACUGUAAAAUAUACAAAUUAAACAGAGAUUAAUGUCGGUCUUAAUGAUCCGAUAAUUAUUUAAUGAUAAAAUUAUCGCUUAACGGAUAAAAGUUACUCUAGGGAUAACAGGCUAAUCUUUUCCGAGAGCCCAUAUUGACGAAAAGGUUUGGCACCUCGAUGUCGGCUUAUCACAUCCUAAAGCAGUAGUAUGUUUUAAGGGUAAGUCUGUUCGCCUAUUAAAGCGAUAC